Arachis ipaensis is the source of this 276-nucleotide non-coding RNA. The record is from RefSeq and is a predicted model, not a curated record. Lineage: Eukaryota; Viridiplantae; Streptophyta; Magnoliopsida; Fabales; Fabaceae.
AUAUCUGCAGGUUCCACUGCUGGUUCUCACUCCCGGAAAGGGCUCGGAUUCAUGCGCUAUGAUGACUCAGAUGAGGAAAAUACAGACUACAAUCAGCAACAGUGGCAGCACAAUGUUGAAGCUUUCUCUUUAGCUGGAAGUGUUGCUAGUAAGGAUUCUGAAGUAGAAAUUGGUUUCUUAAGAAAUACAGAGAAACACAUAGAAAGAAAAGAAAAGAAAGGACUAAUAAGCAAUGAUCAAGAAGAUGAAGAUUACAUGUAAGUAUUCUCUCAAAUU